UACGAGGGGGGCAAGCGUUGUCCGGAAUUAUUGGGCGUAAAGAGCUCGUAGGCGGCUUGUCACGUCGGGUGUGAAAGCCCGGGGCUUAACCCCGGGUCUGCAUUCGAUACGGGCUAGCUAGAGUGUGGUAGGGGAGAUCGGAAUUCCUGGUGUAGCGGUGAAAUGCGCAGAUAUCAGGAGGAACACCGGUGGCGAAGGCGGAUCUCUGGGCCAUUACUGACGCUGAGGAGCGAAAGCGUGGGGAGCGAACAGG
Molecule: ribosomal RNA, 253 nt
Filed under: uncultured bacterium
Lineage: Bacteria
Description: partial 16S ribosomal RNA
Rfam family: Bacterial small subunit ribosomal RNA
Source: RNAcentral